GUGGAUUAGAUACCCGGGUAGUCCACGCCGUAAACGUUGGGAACUAGGUGUGGGUCUCAUUCCACGAGAUCUGUGCCGCAGCUAACGCAUUAAGUUCCCCGCCUGGGGAGUACGGCCGCAAGGCUAAAACUCAAAGGAAUUGACGGGGGCCCGCACAAGCGGCGGAGCAUGUGGAUUAAUUCGAUGCAACGCGAAGAACCUUACCAAGGCUUGACAUGUACCGGAAACAUCCAGAGAUGGGUGCCCCGCAAGGUCGGUACACAGGUGGUGCAUGGCCGUCGACAACU
This 287-nucleotide ribosomal RNA is filed under the name uncultured bacterium. Its description in RNAcentral is "partial 16S ribosomal RNA". It matches the Rfam family "Bacterial small subunit ribosomal RNA", at positions 773 to 1060 of the family's 1533-position model. The record is from RNAcentral.